RNAcentral lists this ribosomal RNA (406 nucleotides) under uncultured bacterium. RNAcentral describes it as "partial 16S ribosomal RNA". It matches the Rfam family "Bacterial small subunit ribosomal RNA", at positions 30 to 526 of the family's 1533-position model. The record is from RNAcentral.
AUUGAACGCUGGCGGCAGGCCUAACACAUGCAAGUCGAACGAGUGGCGGACGGGUGAGUAAUGUCUGGGAAACUGCCUGCUGGUGGGGGAUAACUACUGGAAACGGUAGCUAAUACCGCAUACCAUCAGAUGUGCCCAGAUGGGAUUAGCUAGUUGGUGGGGUAACGGCUCACCAGGGCGACGAUCCCUAGCUGGUCUGAGAGGAUGACCAGACACACUGGAACGGAGACACGGUCCAGACUCCUAAGGGAGGCAGCAGUGGGGAAUAUUGAAAAAUGGGCGCAAGCCUGAUGCAGCCAGGCCGCGUGUAUGAAGAAGGCCUUCGGGUUGUAAAGUACGUUCAGCGGGGAGGCGUUACACGCAGAAGAAGCACCGGCUAACUCCGUGCCAGCAGCCGCGGUAAUUC